GCCUGGGUGGCUCAGUUGGUUGAGCAUCUGACUCAGCUCAGGUCAUGAUAUUGCAGUUCGUGGGUUCGAGCCCCACAUCAGGCU
This 84-nucleotide transfer RNA is filed under the name Felis catus (domestic cat). It matches the Rfam family "tRNA". Rfam says of the family: Transfer RNA (tRNA) molecules are approximately 80 nucleotides in length. The record is from Rfam by way of RNAcentral. RNAcentral also lists the same sequence under 2 other names. Lineage: Eukaryota; Metazoa; Chordata; Mammalia; Carnivora; Felidae.